RNAcentral lists this ribosomal RNA (197 nucleotides) under uncultured bacterium. RNAcentral describes it as "partial 16S ribosomal RNA". It matches the Rfam family "Bacterial small subunit ribosomal RNA", at positions 328 to 539 of the family's 1533-position model. The record is from RNAcentral.
ACGCUCGACACCUACGGGAGCAGCAGUGGGGAAUAUUGCACAAUGGGGGAAACCCUGAUGCAGCGACGCCGCGUGAGCGAAGAAGUAUCUCGGUAUGUAAAGCUCUAUCAGCAGGGAAGAAGAUGACGGUACCUGACUAAGAAGCACCGGCUAAAUACGUGCCAGCAGCCGCGGUAAUCUGAGCGGGCUGGCAAGGC